This 203-nucleotide long non-coding RNA is filed under the name Homo sapiens (human). Its description in RNAcentral is "HSALNT0012628". Lineage: Eukaryota; Metazoa; Chordata; Mammalia; Primates; Hominidae. The record is from RNAcentral.
AGUGGUUAAUAAACACAAAAGGUUCAGAGGAACAGAGUGUAGGACCCAGGUGGGCAAUAGAAAGAUUUCACUGCAAUUCAGACAGUGGUGAAUGGUGUGCUCAUUUCCCCAGGACUGAGGUAGACUUUUAUAUGUCAGCCUUAUCUCUAGGGGGUUAUUUACAUCUCUGAGGACUUCCAUGACACCUAUUAUGAUGAACCUCU